GUAAAUAUAAGUAAAAUUUGUUAAUUUUCUUUUUUUAAGAUCAAAGAAGAAUUCAAAGGAUUGACACCUACAGAUGUGGAGUCUACCUUCAUUGAACAUUUGGACAAUUACACAGAACAGCUCGUCCAUUUAUUUCACAAAAAGGGGGGAAGUGCAGGAUGCAAAAUCUGUGAUGUGAUGAAAUUGCUGGAGCAGUGUGGACAUUCUCUAGGAGGUGGUGAUAUGCUGUCUGACUGUGUACCUUUCUAAGAACCUUGAAAAUCUGAUUACACAUUACCUGGACACCUGUGGGGAAACGGACCAGCUGGACAUUGGAGAGCACAUACCAAAAACUGUGACCAUACGCACACAUUCAGUACAUUACGGACAAUUUAGCCUACCCAAUUUACCUAUACCGCAUGUCUUUGGACUUAUGGGGGCAAUCGGAGCACCUGGAAGAAACCCACAUCAACACGGGGAGAACAUGAAAACUCUGCACAGAAACACCAACUGACCCAGCCAGGGCUCGAACCAGCGUCCUUCUUGCUGUGAGGUAAUUGUGCUGAGUGUUUGACAAGCACAGCUUUGAACGCUUUUUUUAAGAAUACUCUUGAAACAGUUUUUGAAAUAUUGUUUCUAUUAAAGCAGUACAUAUAAAAAAAA
Molecule: long non-coding RNA, 642 nt
Filed under: Danio rerio (zebrafish)
Lineage: Eukaryota; Metazoa; Chordata; Actinopteri; Cypriniformes; Danionidae
Description: lncRNA si:dkey-6d5.3 (ENSDARG00000104286.2)
Source: RNAcentral